RNAcentral lists this ribosomal RNA (392 nucleotides) under uncultured bacterium. RNAcentral describes it as "partial 16S ribosomal RNA". It matches the Rfam family "Bacterial small subunit ribosomal RNA", at positions 523 to 918 of the family's 1533-position model. The record is from RNAcentral.
AUACGGAGGAUCCGAGCGUUAUCCGGAUUUAUUGGGUUUAAAGGGUGCGCAGGCGGCCAUUUAAGUCAGCGGUUAAAUCGUGGGGCUCAACCCCAUUCUGCCGUUGAUACUGGGUGGCUUGAUUGCGGUCGAGGUUGGCGGAAUUCGUUGUGUAGCGGUGAAAUGCAUAGAUAUGACGAAGAACACCGAUUGCGUAGGCAGCUGACCAGACCGCAAAUGACGCUCAUGCACGAAAGUGCGGGGAUCGAACAGGAUUAGAUACCCUGGUAGUCCGCACAGUAAACGAUGAAUACUUGCUUUCGGCGAUAUAAUGUCGGAGGCAAAGCGAAAGCGAUAAGUAUUCCACCUGGGGAGUACGCCGGCAACGGUGAAACUCAAAGGAAUUGACGGGG